UACAACAGGUUAAUUGGUACUGCAUAUACACAUGGGGACCUGGUGGUUGCCUAGCCUCGAUCCCAGGCCGAGUUUUCGCUUUUAUAACGGUUAGGCGAACAACUGGGCCUGGUACUAGUUGUCUGCGCAUGCGUCAGUCGUUCGUCAGAUUCUGACGAAUGGAUAUUCUCGUUCACUUUCGUGACAUUUAUAUUCGUGUACUAUCGUGUACUAGAAGUCAGUUCCCGUUUUAUCAUUAUUGGAAUCGAUUGGAAUGGCUCUUAGCUGAAGCUUCUCUCUUCUCUGAGCUUAUUCUGAAGACUGAACAACAAGGGAAGAGGUAUAAAGCUUUGUCAAGCUUGUUAAGGUCAGAUAUUUUUGUGUGGGCCCUAUGGCCGGCUAUGCUAUCAAGUCUUGUUCAUGUUUGGCAAGAAUGUAGGUAGACUAUAGUUUCAUCAUUAAUAUGGUGGAUCAAGUGAAGAGUGUGAGCUAGAGAACUUGGUGCUGCCAUCAUCAGCUCGUCGACAAUGACACUAUAACCGAGAAAUUUAAUAUGUAUAGAUCUACACGUAUUUAAAAUGUCUACUUCUCUGUACAGGAGCAAUGGCUAAUAUCCAACUAUCCCAACAGUGCUCCUCUUGGCUAUACUAACGGACGAGACUGGACAGUUUGAGACACAGGACUGGAGUAUGACCUGCUCAUUUGAGCGUUGCUGGGUAGCUCAGAGACAUCAAGAGAAUCUACGUUUUCUCAAGCAAUGAGUUACGAGUUGGGGCCUAGAAUCAGAGAAGUCCAGCAGCCUGCUAAAUCUUUUUGAAACGUAAUUUGAAGGCAUUCAAUCAUCCUGAAGUUGCCCUGGGUCACUGUAAUUGUGCUGCAGCACAACUGGCAACUCCCCAGGCCUUUGUGAAGCAGCUCCCUAUGUGCAUCUUUUGUGUACUCACUCUGUGCAUUUUCUGUGUACAAAUUUCUAUUAUUGAUUUAUUAAAUAUUUUUGCCGACCACAAAUAUACAAUGAAAAUU
This is a long non-coding RNA of Halichondria panicea, 1002 nucleotides long. RefSeq lists it as uncharacterized. The record is from RefSeq and is a predicted model, not a curated record. NCBI's taxonomy places the organism in Eukaryota, Metazoa, Porifera, Demospongiae, Suberitida, Halichondriidae. The transcript has 2 exons.